GACGAACGCUGGCGGCGUGCUUAACACAUGCAAGUCGAACGAAGUGGCGGACGGGUGAGUAACGCGUAAUCAACCUGCCCUUCAGCGGGGGACAACAGUUGUAAACGACUGCUAAUACCGCAUACUGAGGGCUGGGAUUGCGUCGGAUUGGCUAGUUGGAGGGGUAACGGCCCACCAAGGCGAGGAUGAGUAGCCGGGCUGGGAGGAUGGACGGCGACAUUGGGCAUGAGACACGGCCCAGACUCCUACGGGUGGUAGCAGUGGGGAAUCUGCGGCAAUGGACGAAAGUCUGACGGAGCAACGCCGCGGGAGUGAUGACGGCCUUCGGGUUGUAAAGCUCUGUUAAUCGGGACGCGGUACCGGAAUAGAAAGCCACGGCUAACUACGUGCCAGCAGCCGCGGUAAUAC
Molecule: ribosomal RNA, 408 nt
Filed under: uncultured bacterium
Lineage: Bacteria
Description: partial 16S ribosomal RNA
Rfam family: Bacterial small subunit ribosomal RNA
Source: RNAcentral